AUUAAGCAUUAUUUUCAUCACAAACUUCAUUAAAAUCUAAUUAAUUAAUGUUAAUUAAUUCACUCGAACGAUAAUUGAAAAAUUUGAAAUGCAUUAUACGUUUGGAUUUUCUUUAUUUACGAGUCGAUAUAUUUUUUCUUUGCAAAGAGUUCUGUGGUUUUGUUUGAGAAUUUUAAUGUAUCAGUUAUUAACUUUUUUCUUUUCAUUUUGUAGUUAUCACGGUAUGUAUAGGUUUAUGUUUAUUAAUAGGUUUUUAAGCAUAUGCUUAUCUCAAAAUUUGAUAUUAGAGAUGAGCUUAUUUUGAAUAAAAAUGAAUUGGAAGUCAAAAAACGGUUAGAAAUAGAAAAUAAGGACCACCCACGAUCUGUUAUAAAAGGACAAGCGUGUAAUUUUCGGGGGUUGCCAUACUCCACCUCGUGUGUUGGGAUCAGCUUUACAUAGUAUGUCGAGGAAUACAAAUACUGCAAACAGUUCACGACCUUUCUAAAAAUCCAUUAAUAGUUGAUGUAGGGAACAAAAAUAUUUCAUACCUCUGCGAAAAGAUAUCCAUCACUUUCAUGAAGAAAUCCGACGAUGACUUUGUUUGGAAUGAUGGACGAUAUUGCGUGGAGAGUUAAGGAAGAAACUAAACAGAGAAGCUGCUCCUAUGUAAAUAACGCAUUUAUUUUUGUACACGCUCCUUAUAAUUAUUAAAAUAUUAUUUAGCAAUGAGUAAGAGCGUUAAAUUCAUUCAUAUAUAUUCAUAGAAAUUUAUGAUAUUAAGAAAAUAAUGGCUUGGAAUCGUUAAACAACAACGCAGUUAAUUGAACUCGUGAGAU
RNAcentral lists this long non-coding RNA (818 nucleotides) under Androctonus crassicauda. Lineage: Eukaryota; Metazoa; Arthropoda; Arachnida; Scorpiones; Buthidae. The record is from RNAcentral.